ACAAUAGCUAAAGCUGAUUCCUCUCCCCUUGAAUGUAGGCUACAAGUAGUGACUCCCUUAAUAAUAGAAUAUAGAAUAAUAGAAUGUGACAGAGGUUCUGCUAUGUGACUUCUGAGGCUAGGGUGAAUAGCUUCUGAGUGUCAAUAUAGCUAGUGGUUAAAAGGAUAGCUCUGCUUUGUUCUCCUCUUGGAUCACUUAUUCUAACGGAAGGAAGUCACUAUGUUUUGAAGACAUUCAGUGGGCCCUAGAGAGAGCCCACCUAGAGAGGGCCCACUAUGUCCCUCUUCCCAUCCCAUUUCUCCCUAUUGGCAGCCUUCAAGUCUGACAGCUAAGGCUCCAGACACUGUGAAGCAGAAAUAAGCCUCCACAGCAUAUCUGUCUAAAUUCCUGAUCCACAGAAACCAUGAGAUAAUAAAUGGCUGCUGGUGCUUUUAAAGUACAACUUUUUGGGGUGAUUGAUUUCACACUAGUAUGUUAAUGCACUUUCCCAAGUCCCUCUAGUCGUUCAAACAUCUAAGAGUUCUCUUUGUUUCUCUUGUUUGGAUCUACUAAGCAUUACCCACUCCAGCUCCUUUAUUUUUGUUUUUUUCUAUAUAUACCCAGAAGUGAAAUUGCUGGAUUGUAUGUUAAAGAUCCAUUUGUAUCUCAUCACCCCUCUUGGAAGGAAUCUUUCUGCUCACCAUACUCAACUGUCUAGAUUCACACAGCUGGUGGCGUGAGCCGAACUCCUUAGGAAGAGUCUGGGAGGAGGAGCCUCAGCGCCAGGGCACCCAGGUGUUUCUCAUCCCAGGCCUCCCAGGCCAGCCGGCUCCCAAAAUCCCUCGAGAUCAGGCUUCCACCCGGAAAUGUGCCUGCAGCUGCUUGCAGUGCCUCGGACCGUUGCAGUUACUUGGCUGUCUCAAAGUUUUCAACACCUAGGAAAAAAACAGUUUCUCUUUCUGGCUUUUAUUCUCGAUAUUCUUUAGCUAAAUUUGUUUCACAAAUUAAAAAGAAGAAGGAGAAGAAGAAGAAGAAGAAAAAAUGAAGCAGUUUCUUGUUCCUGCUUCUAAGGACACUAGAAAUCCAACAUAGAAACCAGGGGACAUUGAUGACUGGAUCUAUGUAAUAAUGGACAAUUUUGUACGGCCCUAAAGCAUACUAAUCUCACUGCAAGGAAUCAUACGUCCUUGACGAAUGUCACCCGUCCAGUCUGUUGGGAAACCAGUGACAGUGUGAGCAAGGAUAAGACACAAGGGCUCUGAAGACCCACAUUCCCGAUUUUACAGAUGUGGAAACUGAGAUCCAGGAUUAGCUAAGUGGUUGCUUAAAACAAAACUGUUGGAGAUAGAAAUGGAGCAAGGACCUAGGUUUUGACAUCAAUUCCAUGUAAUUCUUGGUCAGGAAAAUGAGUGUUAAAGAAGUUAAAUUACUUGCUCACCCACACAGGACCAAGAUUCAAGCAGGGAUCCUGACUCUAGUCACAUGAAAAGUGUCAGCUUGCAUGGUCAUCAAUUCCCAGAGAGCUUAUGAAAGGACAUGAACCCUUGCAGCUCUGAGUUCUCAUGUAAGAGCCCAGCUAGCCAUGCUUCCAUGCUCGAGACUCUGAGGGAAACUACAAUGAAACAGAGCAAGAUGCCCAAGAAGCCCCAGUUAUGAGGGUGUAGAGGAAGUUCUUCAUAACAUUUUCAUAAACAUUUUCAUUUACCCUACCCACUUCAUCCUUCCUGACCUUUUGUAAGUGGUAAGUGAUGCUUCUGAUUCUUUACGCCUUUCCAGAAUGCUAUGGAGAAAGCAGUAAUCUUGUUCUCACGGUAUCUCUCUGCAAACUCUUAGAUUUGAAAUUUUUCAUUCUGUUACAUCAGGUGCUACUCCACUCCCAUUUCCAUGUUCCUACGUUUGACCUUAGAGUUAGAGAAAUUAUCUAGACUAUGUGUUUAGAGUAUGUAUUUCUGUCUCUUAUUCUCCUUAUUGCUUGUGGUUUUCAUAAGGAAAGGGAAUUGAAACCUGAAGUUGAGCAUUCUUUCUUAGAAACACCUGAAAUUAGGUGUUAGGUGAAACAGGAGUGAGGGGAAUGGCAUUCCAGGAAAAAGGCAAUAACACAGUUUCUAGCUACUGUCAGGUGUAAUUGUGGUAGCAGAAUAUUGUCAUACCUAUCUUAUAUUUAUUUUUUAAAUUUAUUUACGUUUUUAUUUUAAUUCCAGUUUAUUAACAUAUAGUGUUAUAUUAAUUUCAAGUGUACAAUAUAGUGAUUCAACAGUU
Felis catus (domestic cat) is the source of this 2238-nucleotide long non-coding RNA. RefSeq lists it as uncharacterized. The transcript has 7 exons. The record is from RefSeq and is a predicted model, not a curated record. Lineage: Eukaryota; Metazoa; Chordata; Mammalia; Carnivora; Felidae.